Long non-coding RNA from Brassica rapa (field mustard), 1331 nucleotides. RefSeq lists it as uncharacterized. NCBI's taxonomy places the organism in Eukaryota, Viridiplantae, Streptophyta, Magnoliopsida, Brassicales, Brassicaceae. The record is from RefSeq and is a predicted model, not a curated record.
UGUCAAAUCCUUCAUGGACGUUUCCUCUCUUGCGAUUCAUCAGUUGAGUGAUUGGAUCAAGGAAUGUUCCUUGUACGACCACAAGGAAGAAAAAAUUGUGGGAAGAAUGGGAAAGCAACAGAUUAGAUUUGCAUAUAUUGAGUAAAAGUACAGAUGCAUGAGUCACAAAGAUGGAGCAGAUUCGAACAUUCAUACUCUUUAAGACAAGUACACUAUUCUAAACAAUGUUAUUCUUUUGUCAGUUUGAGACAUUUAGAUUUACGCAAGUUAGUAUAGUUUUACUUUAGAACUAUAAGAGUUGAUUGGUUAGUUAGGUUGUUGUGUGAACUGAAUACGAUUGUUUUGAUUAGUAAUUAGUCAUUAAAUUAUAUUAGUUUAAAUUAAAUUUUGAAACAUAAACUAAAAAUAUAGGAUGCAUCUAAUAUAUCUCAUCAUUUUAAUGCAAUCCACAUAAAAACCCAGCUUAUUAUUAAAUAUAGGAAAUUCAAAUAACACAAAAAAAAAAAAAAAAAAAAACAGAAAGCCUCAAAUCGAAAGUACGGAAUAAAUCAAAGCAUAACAACUUGAAAAUAGGGAAAGGAGUCCGAUAUCGGAAAGAAACUUCUUAGAUCUUCAGCCUAAUCAUUCUUGAUCUUCUCUUGUUUGAUGAUCUUGAUGCAUUGUUUCUUAGAAGAAGAUGUUAGGUCCUGUAGGUCGUAAUUAUCUUCCUUGCGCUUUGUUAUAGGAGUUGGACACUCAUCAAAUGAAAUUUGAUCCAACAUCAUGGCCUAAAUCCAUUUAAAAUUUUAGGUUUUGUUAGAAACUAUGAUAACACACACAGUAAUAAAAACAUGUAAGGCAAACACUUAAUAAAUAAAAAAAUAUACUUACUGAUCCAGAUGACAUGGUGGAAGAAGUAGUGACCAUAUCAGAAUUAAAUUGAGAGUCAGUCUCGAUAGUAAGAACUUUAUCUCCAGUACAAACCUCUAAAACAACAAAAGUGUAUGAACUAUUUGUGACAUUGUCUGAGGUUAUGGAAAUACCAAAACAGAAAGACUUUCCAACCAAACUAAGAAUAGGUUCUGAUAGUAUCUCUGGAUCUUCAGUCUGAUAGAAAGAAGAAAUAUAAGGAGUUAAAUCUUAACUAUUAUCGUGGGAAAAAGUAACAGCAAAACACAAAUUCAUAUAAAAAUAUACCUCCUCAUAAGAGCCAUCCCAUAAUUCUUCAGCAUCCACUGCAACGAUAGACUUACCAACAGAGCCUAGCAACAUCAAAUUACAUGUUGCAGAGUCAUCUUUGACAACCAAAUGUAGCUUGAAUCUAUUAAAAAAAAACAAAAACUCAGGAUAUA